This 824-nucleotide ribosomal RNA is filed under the name Microsporidium sp. BPAR10. RNAcentral describes it as "SSU rRNA". It matches the Rfam family "Microsporidia small subunit ribosomal RNA", at positions 42 to 788 of the family's 1311-position model. The record is from RNAcentral. Lineage: Eukaryota; Fungi; Microsporidia.
AUUUAGCCAUGCAAGCUUGCGAAGCCUAGUGCGGAGCGGCAGACAGCUCAGUAAUACAGUUAUAAUUUACUCGUGGUAUGUACAUGGAUAACCAUGGUAAGCUAUGGCUAAUACAUGGACAAGUUAUUCAACUGGUGAAGCAGGAAUAACAGACAGAAACGACCACGAUUAAGUUUCUGGCCUAUUAGCUUUGUAGGUACGGUAAUGGCGUACCUUGGCGAUGAUGGGUAACGGGGGAUCAGGGUCUGAUACCGGAGAGGGAGCCUGAGAAAUAGCUCCCACGUCUAAGGAUGGCAGCAGGCGCGAAACUUACCCAAUUCCUUAACGGGAGAGGUAGUGAAGAGACGUGAGAUUUUAUCUACAGACCGAAUUUUAAAACCAUUCGGAAUCGAUUGGAGGGCAAGUCUGGUGCCAGCAGCCGCGGUAAUUCCAGCUCCAAGAGCGUAUAUAUUUAUUGCUGCAGUUAAAAAGUCCGUAGUUGAUCACUUCGACACUGUGAGGAAAAUAUAGUUCUCAAAGCAAUUUUUUUUGAGUAAUUCAGCAUGGGACGUUGUGAAGAUAGGAACAGUUGAUGGCAACAGUAUUCAGCAGUUAGAGGUAUAAAUUGAUGACCUGCUGAGGACUACCUGAAGCGAAGGCGGUUGUCAAGGAUGUAUCCGUUAAUAAAGGACUUAAGCCGGAGGAUCGAAGAUGAUUAGAGACCGUCGUAGUUCCGGCUGUAAACUAUGCCUACUAGGUGAAGCCUUUUGGCUGUGCCUUCGAGAAAUCAAGAGUUUAUGGGCUCUGGGGAAAGUACGGACGCAAGUUUGAAACUUAAAGAAAUU